Molecule: long non-coding RNA, 2040 nt
Filed under: Theobroma cacao (cacao)
Lineage: Eukaryota; Viridiplantae; Streptophyta; Magnoliopsida; Malvales; Malvaceae
Description: long non-coding RNA (TCAC_LNC001790)
Source: RNAcentral
AGAGAAGAGAAACCAAGGAAGAACAAACCCUAGGCGGGAAAAAUCAAAGAGAAAGUGUUGGAAUUCAAGGAUUUGAUCAAGUAAAGGUAAAAUUUCUUUGAUUUUGCUAGUGAUUUACCUUACCCAUGCAUUUUUCCUUAAUUUCCAUGGUUGAAAAGCAUGCUUUCAUGGUGAAUUCAUGGCUGGUCAAAAUGGGUAUGGAGAGAGAAUGAUCUUGGAUUGGUUUGAUUUUUUAGGUAUGUUAGUGUUUUUAGGUGAUUAAUGAUGUGUAGCAUGAAAACAAGUGAAGAAAACCACCAAAGGUUUAGUGCCCAUCAAUAGCCGAAUUCUCUAAGUGAAUAAUAAGGAAGAAUGGGAUGAUAUUCUAGGUGAUUUGAUUAAGAAAUAAUAGUCUUUGGUGAAUUGAGGGAUUGGAAAAGAAAUGGAGCAAGUUGGAGUGAAAUUGGACGCAUUGGCCAAUUUAUCGGAUGAAAAUCGACUUAGGCCAAUACUGGGUCUAGAUGGCUACCCGUGCAUUUUUCAUUUCAUAUCACGCAUAUAUAUCGAGCUUGAAAUAGAUUAUGACUGUUAGACACAAUUUAAUUGGAAUAUGUAUCAUGGAUUAUGGCUAGGUGGUGAGCCAUUGGAAACGGGUAAAGGACUGUACCCGCGGACUAAAAAUAGGAGUAUUUCUACUCCUAAUACUAUGAGUACACUUAUUAUCGUCUUAAUUAUCUAGAGUAGUUUUAUACAAUUGUGUGAUUUUAUAAAAAAUGGGUUUAAAUGGUAAAUUGCUAUGUUUUAGGAGAAAUUGUGAUUUUAUAAAAUGAUUUUAUAAAUUUUUUGAAAAAUUGAAUAUUGGUUUUGAAAAUCGACUAAUUGGAGACUACUUGUUUGUGUUAUAAAUUGUGUUUUAAAUUAUAUGGCUUAUAGCAAUAUGUGAGCAUGAAUGGCAAAGUCGGUAUUUGUAUCAAAAUUAUAUAUACUAUGUAUUCAGCCUUGAGAGGCUAGAUUGCGAUAAAUUAUCAUGUCAUGCAGAUAAAGAUUUUAUAAAUUAGGUGGUAGAUAAAAUAAUCCAUAAUCCCUGCAGUGGAGGUUUUGUGGACCAGCCUAAAAGAGGGGGCAUAGAAUCAGAUAUACCUUACCUCGAUUGGAGAGCCGUGUGGAGGGUUUCUCUAGAGGUAAGGAUUUGAGUGCAUUUCACGUGGACCACCGCGUGAGAGUGAGACUCAACCAAAGCCAAGGCAUGGCUAGAAUUUCGGAUGUAAAGAAAUUUAACAACCUUGGUGGUCUCAGUCAGAUGCCUAGGCCAAGGCAUCCCCGAGAAUGAUUUUUGGCAGGAGCCAAGUUUUGUGAGAUAUAUAAGCUACGUUGAUUAAUUGAGUAAACUGAAUAUUCAUGUUAUGAAACAUAUAUUGAAAAAGAAUAUUUUAAUUCGUCUUCAUUUACUCGACUUUAGAUAGUUUAGAUGGUAUCUGUUUACUCACUGGGAUUAUGUAAUCUCACCCCUCUUCCUAUCCAUUUUUCAAGCUCAGGACAAUUUGUUGAUAGUUGAUUAAGAUGAGAAUUAAUCUCGGAGUUGCAUCCUAGAAAGUAAGGGUUUGUAGCCCUACACCUUUUUGGUCAGUUGGGGGUCCACGUGUCACUGUAAAAGUAAUUUUAUACUUCAAUUAUCUGAUUUAAAGUAUGUAUGAACAUAUUUAGCUUUUACACCAUGUUUUUGGCGGGUUUCGGUAUUUUUGAAGAAAAAUGACGAAAAUACCCUAUGAGCCAGAAAAUAAUAUUUUAUUAUUUUGAUUUGGAAACAACUUAUGAUUUCUUGAAAUGCGAGAUUUAAUAACUGUCGCUCACCAGGGAGAUGCGAAAGCUGAUGCUAAGCCUUGCGGGAUUUCGAUCGGCAUUCGAGGUAAUGAGUAUCUAUCGGGACGUCGCGACGGUUGUCACGAGGCCAAUGGGAGUUUCGGGUCGUGACACAUGCAAACAGUUGUUUUUCAUUUAAUUUCUCAUUAAGGUUUAUGACUUUCAUAAACAUUUGGCUUAUGCCAUCAAAUAGUACUCGAU